UAGCCGACCUGAGAGGGCUGACCGGCCACAUUGGGACUGAGACACGGCCCAAACUCCUACGGGAGGCAGCGAGUGGGGAAUAUUGCACAAUGGGGGAAACCCUGAUGCAGCGACGCCGCGUGAGCGAUGAAGUAUUUCGGUAUGUAAAGCUCUAUCAGCAGGAAGAAUAAUGACGGUACCUGACUAAGAAGCACCGGCUAAAUAC
RNAcentral lists this ribosomal RNA (205 nucleotides) under uncultured bacterium. RNAcentral describes it as "partial 16S ribosomal RNA". It matches the Rfam family "Bacterial small subunit ribosomal RNA", at positions 284 to 504 of the family's 1533-position model. The record is from RNAcentral.